AUGAUACUCCAGUGGUCCGUUAGUGUUGCAGUUGUAGAAAAAUGGGGUCGGUUAGAGAAAUUGGUUGAGCCAAGACUCCGUUUCUUCAAUCCUUGAAGAGUUAGAUUUGGAAAAAAGGAAUGAUUCCUUAUAGGCGAAAUGUGAGUUUCUAUUAAUACAGGGUAUCAGGAUACAAGAUAUCAUUCGUUUCCCAAGGUUUUUUAGGUUCCUAUAACGGCCCUUGGCAUGACUCUUUUCCACAUUUUGGGCACCCAAAAGUUAUGAAGGGUAUGCAUCAAUUGGAGGUGGUUCACCUCUGAGAAAGAUA
This 307-nucleotide long non-coding RNA is filed under the name Helianthus annuus (common sunflower). RNAcentral describes it as "sRNA HanXRQr2_Chr09g0417661". Lineage: Eukaryota; Viridiplantae; Streptophyta; Magnoliopsida; Asterales; Asteraceae. The record is from RNAcentral.